GCUUAUAUGCGAGCAAUUCUUAAAACAAAUUGCGUCAGUAUUAAAGUUUUAAAUAUCUACACUCUAUAAUAAAAAAAUCGACGUACCAAGAAGGUGUUGUCCGACGGAAACAAAAAUUGGUGGAUAUGAAGAUCAUGUACAGAAUAGAAAAUGAUUAAAAUUUCAGAACGAUUGAAUGUGACGUCGACGGGAGACCCGGGGAAGAGUUAUCUUUUCUUUGUAAGAACUCGUGUCCCAGAAAUCGGAUCAUCCGGAGAUAGGGAUGGUGAGUUCGUAAAAGCACCGCGGCUCUUGCGGUGUCCGGUACGCUCCUGUCGACCCUUGCUAAUCCGAGGGAGAGAUUAUGAUUUUCGUGCCAGACCGUACCCAUAUCCGCAGCAGGUCUCCAAGGUGAACAGCCUCUAGU
RNAcentral lists this non-coding RNA (406 nucleotides) under Stegodyphus mimosarum. Its description in RNAcentral is "eukaryotic large subunit ribosomal RNA". It matches the Rfam family "Eukaryotic large subunit ribosomal RNA", at positions 1505 to 1887 of the family's 3401-position model. The record is from Rfam by way of RNAcentral. Lineage: Eukaryota; Metazoa; Arthropoda; Arachnida; Araneae; Eresidae.